CAAGGAUAAAAACACGGCGCGGUUGGUAGUCCGCGCGCCGGGGAUCUCCCGGCCAGUAACCCUCCCUCCCAUGGGUCGUCCGUUCUUUGCAG
RNAcentral lists this non-coding RNA (92 nucleotides) under uncultured Anaeromassilibacillus sp. RNAcentral describes it as "yjdF RNA". It matches the Rfam family "azaaromatic riboswitch aptamer (yjdF RNA)", at positions 6 to 91 of the family's 101-position model. The record is from RNAcentral. Lineage: Bacteria; Bacillati; Bacillota; Clostridia; Eubacteriales; Acutalibacteraceae.